CCUGUGAACAGCUGUAUUUUGAACAAAAACAAACUCUGGGAAAACUAAAUCCUGGAGGCUGCACCCUGCAGUGCCUCCCGGGUUUGAGGAGCCAUGCGUUGAGCUGCACCGAUAGGUGCCCGCACUGUUUGCCGCCGAACGGGCCGCCGUGGGCGUGCGGGCUCGUGGAGAGCAGGUCACAAGGGGACUGUUGGUUUAGUGGGCCCCUCAGCCUCUGUGCUCGGGCCGGGGCCAUGGAUCGUCUUCGGCGGGUUUGCUCCCGUGCUGUUGAGCAAACACACCGAGCUCCGUGAUUGGUCAGGACGGCCGUCCAAUCGGGGAGCCGCAGCCCCCGCUGCCGUAGUACUGCUGCUGGCACGGCCUCAACGCGCUCAUUCAUUGGCUCCCCGGCUCCACUAUUCUAUAUGAAUCAGCGCGCCAGUUAUGCUUUUUCUCCCCGUGUUUCCUCUGCUGGGUUUCGUCACGAGCCGUAAAGAUUUGAGCGAAACGCAAACAAGCGGCCAUUUAUUUUUUAGAAGUCUUUUAACAACUUUUCACGUAGUUCAGUUUGUGUUUACGUUCGUGGGCCACUCAUAUAAACAAGUUGCAUUUAAAGGGAAUAAAAUAUAGCGUUUAAAUGUCCACUUUAGGGCACCGUAUGCGGAAUUUAAAUCGUUUUUUAAAUUGUUUCAGCCUCCCGAAGGGUGGUUUGUUUCACAAAGGCCUGUGUCUUUUUUUUUUUUUUUUGCAUGGAUAAAUGUAAGGAACGUAUUAACCAAGGAGGCUUUCCGUUGGCCUGGUCAGGCGCGUACAAUUUUGUCUAACCUAGUUUAUCAUUCUUAACCAUUUCCACUGGAUAUAAACUAACGAAACGAGGGGCGGGGGUCCCGCCGCGCAGAGCCGCGGACUUGUACGCAUAUAAAGGGACGGCGGUCAUGUGAGCGCUCGGCGGACUGUGUCGGUUUAAAUGAGCUGCUGAUGCAUGGCUGCAGCCUGUCCGUCUGUGUGUGUGUGUGUGUGUGUGUGUGUGUGGAUAAGUGCGCGAGUGUGUGGGCGCGCGCGCGUGUGUGCGGUUGCAGCCUCUGCAGGAGGAAUAGUGAAUGUAUCGCUGAGGAAUGUACAGAAAGUCUCCCCGCCCCCCCAGCUUUCAGGGCUCCUCGCUGCGGUUGAAUUCCAUAGGGGGCCAACUGACAUAAAGUUUCAGACUAGACUGCAUCCUAUGUGGGAAGGGUUCUGCGGUGAAUGUCAGCACAGGGUGUGUGUGUGUGUAUAUAUAUAUAUAUAUACAGAUUUAUAUAACGACAACAAGAAAAGAACAGAUCGAAUCGAUCCGGUUUCAACAUAAUCUGGGAUGUUUUCAGAGCAGAGAAGUUGUGCGCGUGGAAUGUACAGGCUGACCGCUGCGGACGGACAGACGGACAGACAGACGGACAGACAGGCGGCUCAGUGGCACGAACGCCAUGUUGAGAAGCCAGAGAGCCUCACAGUUCCAUUUCUAUCUAUUGCAAACAAUGUAUCUAUCGGCGUUAAAGCCAUUGUGUUUGAAUUAAAACGGUCUGGAUUUAUGUUUUUUUCUAUUCACGCCAAGGAGACUCACGCAGGCUUCAACACACACGAAUGGGUGUGUUUUCUCCUGUGUGAUGACACCCUUCAUCUCAUUAGAAAAUGGCGGUGUGUGCCCCUUCACAGCCAGAGAGGAUUCCUUUUUUUU
Molecule: long non-coding RNA, 1690 nt
Organism: Gasterosteus aculeatus aculeatus (three-spined stickleback)
Lineage: Eukaryota; Metazoa; Chordata; Actinopteri; Perciformes; Gasterosteidae
Source: RefSeq, a predicted model, not a curated record